GUAAGUUGGUGGCCUGGUGAGUUUCGACAUGCCUGCUGGAGGCCAAUGCAUCAGGAGGGAAGAGAAAGUGGAGAAAGUGGGGAAAGGCGUGGAGGGAGAAGUGCAACGUGGGAGCCAUCGAGCGAGCACCUCGUCCACAUCAACCACCACCACUUUCAUCAGCUGGCUCUCAUCUGUUGCUUCUACUGCUGCUUUCUCCUAAUUUGUCUUUUGCGGAUUUCUCGAAAUCUUUAAAAUUCUAGUAUGUACACCUUGUUGUCAGGUCUUUACAAACAUUUGACACAGCAUGACGAGUAUUGCGUCGUUAUCCUUGGGCUGGACAAUGCAGGAAAAACGACGUACUUGGAGGCUGCAAAAGCAAAUUUGGAUAAGAACUAUAAACGAGGAGAUCCCAAAAGAGUGACGGCCACCGUGGGGUUAAAUGUGGGAAAAAUCGAUACUGCAGGAAUCACGAUUCAAUUUUGGGACCUUGGAGGACAAACUGAAUUGCAAAGCCUAUGGGAUAAGUACUACGAAGAAUGUCACGGAAUCAUUUAUGUUAUUGACUCGUAUGAUCGUGAAAGGAUUGAAGAAUCAAAGGAAGCGUUUGAUAAAAUGGUACGUAAUGAGUUACUAUCAAAAGUUCCAUUGCUGGUGCUUGCAAACAAACAGGAUCUACCAGAGUGUAUGGGUGUACGAGAAGUUAAACCAAUAUUUAAUCAAAGUGCUCAUCUAAUUGGAUCUCGAGAUUGCAUGGUGAUGCCAGUCUCUGCACUUACUGGGGAGGGCAUUUCAGAGGGAAUUAACUGGUUGAUUGAUUGCUUGAAAAGAAAUUCUGAUAUAAGGCCACCAAAGUCAUCGGAUAGCUAAAUUUUUCUAUAAAAGUUACAAAUUAUUUAUUUAUUCAAUCAGUCAAUAUCAAAAUAUGCCUCACCCACAGGCAUCACCUGAGGAAAACUUUUUCAUGCAACUCGAGAGCUGUGUUAAAUUAUACCUUCCGUUUAUAAAGCGUAUCAAGACAAGAUUAUUCAAUACUUUAUCGCUCUAUAAGAGACCCAAGCGUUACCUAGA
RNA transcript from Folsomia candida, 1050 nucleotides. It is a transcript of the gene named ADP-ribosylation factor-related protein 1, with no coding region annotated. NCBI's taxonomy places the organism in Eukaryota, Metazoa, Arthropoda, Collembola, Entomobryomorpha, Isotomidae. The transcript is spliced from 7 exons. The record is from RefSeq and is a predicted model, not a curated record.